This 51-nucleotide microRNA precursor is filed under the name Hydra vulgaris (swiftwater hydra). RNAcentral describes it as "Hvu-Mir-3007-v1_pre stem-loop". Lineage: Eukaryota; Metazoa; Cnidaria; Hydrozoa; Anthoathecata; Hydridae. The record is from RNAcentral.
UGUUCGGCGUUUUUACCUGCAGUGUAACUGUGGGUAAAAACGCCAAACAUG